This 285-nucleotide ribosomal RNA is filed under the name uncultured diatom. RNAcentral's name for it is "partial 18S ribosomal RNA". It matches the Rfam family "Eukaryotic small subunit ribosomal RNA", at positions 598 to 888 of the family's 1831-position model. The record is from RNAcentral. Lineage: Eukaryota; Bacillariophyta.
CGUAUAUUAACGUUGUUGCAGUUAAAAAGCUCGUAGUUGGAUUUGUGGUUCGUUGCAUGGUCCCAGCAAAUUGUUGGGUGCCGUUGCGAGGAGCCAUCCUUGGGUGGAAUCUGUGUGGCAUUAGGUUGUCGCGCAGGGGAUGCCCAUCGUUUACUGUGAAAAAAUUAGAGUGUUCAAAGCAGGCUUAUGCCGUUGCAUUCUCCAGCAUGGAAUAAUAAGAUAGGACCUUGGUACUAUUUUGUUGGUUUGCGCACCAAGGUAAUGAUUAAUAGGGACAGUUGGGGG